GAUGAACGCUGGCGGCGUGCUUAACACAUGCAAGUCGAACGAAGCAUUUGCGACAGAUUUUUUCGGAAUGAAGUUGCUUAUGACUGAGUGGCGGACGGGUGAGUAACGCGUGGGUAACCUGCCUUGUACUGGGGGAUAGCAGCUGGAAACGGCUGGUAAUACCGCAUAAGCGCACAAUGUUGCAUGACAUGGUGUGAAAAACUCCGGUGGUAUAAGAUGGCCCGCGUCUGAUUAGCUAGUUGGUGAGAUAACAGCCCACCAAGGCGACGAUCAGUAGCCGACCUGAGAGGGUGACCGGCCACAUUGGGACUGAGACACGGCCCAGACUCCUACGGGAGGCAGCAGUGGGGAAUAUUGCACAAUGGAGGAAACUCUGAUGCAGCGACGCCGCGUGAGUGAAGAAGUAAUUCGUUAUGUAAAGCCCUAUCAGCAGGGAAGAUAGUGACGGUACCUGACUAAGAAGCUCCGGCUAAAUACGUG
RNAcentral lists this ribosomal RNA (480 nucleotides) under uncultured bacterium. Its description in RNAcentral is "partial 16S ribosomal RNA". It matches the Rfam family "Bacterial small subunit ribosomal RNA", at positions 28 to 507 of the family's 1533-position model. The record is from RNAcentral.